CCUACGGGAGGCAGCAGUGAGGAAUAUUGGUCAAUGGGCGCGAGCCUGAACCAGCCAAGUCGCGUGAGGGAGGACGGCCCUACGGGUUGUAAACCUCUUUUGCCGGGGAGCAACGGGCGUCACGUGUGGAGCCACUGCGAGUACCCGGCGAAAAAGCAUCGGCUAACUCCGUGCCAGCAGCCGCGGUAAUACGGAGCAUGCGAGCGUUAUCCGGAUUUGUUGGGUUUAAGGGGUGCGUAGGCGGAUCGUUAAGUCAGUGGUCAAAUUGAGGGGCUCAACCCCUUCCCGCCAUUGAAACUGGCGCUCUUGAGUGGAAGAGAAGUAGGCGGAAUGCGUGGUGUAGCGGUGAAAUGCAUAGAUAUCACGCAGAACCCCGAUUGCGAAGGCAGCAUGCCGGCUUCCGACUGACGCUGAAGCACGAAAGCGUGGGGAUCGAACAGGAUUAGAUACCCCUGUAGUC
This 460-nucleotide ribosomal RNA is filed under the name uncultured bacterium. RNAcentral's name for it is "partial 16S ribosomal RNA". It matches the Rfam family "Bacterial small subunit ribosomal RNA", at positions 338 to 795 of the family's 1533-position model. The record is from RNAcentral.